RNAcentral lists this ribosomal RNA (256 nucleotides) under uncultured bacterium. Its description in RNAcentral is "partial 16S ribosomal RNA". It matches the Rfam family "Bacterial small subunit ribosomal RNA", at positions 524 to 777 of the family's 1533-position model. The record is from RNAcentral.
UACGUAGGGUGCGAGCGUUGUCCGGAAUUAUUGGGCAUAAAGAGCUCGUAGGCGGUCUGUCGCGUCGAUCGUGAAAACUUGGGGCUUAACCCUGAGCUUGCGGUCGAUACGGGCAUGACUGGAGUUCGGCAGGGGAGACUGGAAUUCCUGGUGUAGUGGUGGAAUGCGUAGAUAUCGGGAGGAACACCAGUGGCGAAGGCGGUUGCCUGGGGCUUUGGCUGACGCUGAUGCGCGAAAGCGUGGGGAGCGAGUCCGG